RNAcentral lists this ribosomal RNA (412 nucleotides) under uncultured bacterium. RNAcentral describes it as "bacterial SSU rRNA". It matches the Rfam family "Bacterial small subunit ribosomal RNA", at positions 917 to 1333 of the family's 1533-position model. The record is from RNAcentral.
GGGCCCGCACAAGCGGUGGAGCAUGUGGUUUAAUUCGAUGCAACGCGAAGAACCUUACCAAGACUUGACAUACUGCGAAUUUUUCUGAGAAGAAAAAGUGCCUUCGGGAAUGCAGAUACAGGUGGUGCAUGGCUGUCGUCAGCUCGUGUCGUGAGAUGUUGGGUUAAGUCCCGCAACGAGCGCAACCCUUAUUUUUAGUUACUAAUUUUAUUAGGUUCUCUAGAAAGACUGCCGGUGAUAAACCGGAGGAAGGUGAGGAUGACGUCAAGUCAGCAUGCCCCUUAUGUCUUGGGCUACACACGUGCUACAAUGGUUAAGACAAAAGUUGCUACUCUGUGAAGAGAUGCUAAUCUUAUAAACUUAGCCUAAGUUCAGAUUGUAGGCUGCAACUCGCCUACAUGAAGUUGGAAUC